This 77-nucleotide transfer RNA is filed under the name Deltaproteobacteria bacterium. Its description in RNAcentral is "tRNA-Pro". It matches the Rfam family "tRNA". From Rfam's summary of the family: Transfer RNA (tRNA) molecules are approximately 80 nucleotides in length. The record is from RNAcentral. Lineage: Bacteria; Pseudomonadati; Myxococcota; Myxococcia.
CGGGGCGUAGCGCAGUCUGGUAGCNCACUUGACUGGGGGUCAAGGAGUCGCAGGUUCAAAUCCUGUCGCCCCGACCA